This 746-nucleotide unclassified non-coding RNA is filed under the name Hevea brasiliensis (rubber tree). Lineage: Eukaryota; Viridiplantae; Streptophyta; Magnoliopsida; Malpighiales; Euphorbiaceae. The record is from RNAcentral.
AGAUCAUCUCCCUUGCGUCUCUUGAAUUCUAUUACGCCCUCAAAAGGAUUUUACAGGUUUCGGUUCGUUCCUCUAUACUCAUCUUAUAUGAAGUCCACUUGUACUAUGGUUUUGAAGUACAGACUACAGAGAGUUAAGGAUUUUUUCUGGACUUCCUAAAAGGACACACUAACUCAUGGCUUACUUGAAGUGCCAAUCAACAUAUUCACAAGACAAGAGAGACCGUUAAAAGCAGAAACAAAAGCUAACAUACUGAAUUGAAAAUAAGCUCUUUUUUUUUCUUAAGGCACUGAUCAAAGUUCUGAUAUUUUCGAUAUGCCUGUGUUAUGCUUGAUGAUACGGAUGUGCUGAUUGUAGCUGAAAAUUCAUACUUUGGGAUCCGAAGUAUGGCUCAUGCAUACCACCUCUUUGUAAACUUUGGAUUUGCAUUUUAGUGUUCCCAUAAGAGUUUCCUCCAUAAAGAGCUGGGGACAUGAACAAACUUGCUUGUGCAGAAUUGAAGCCCGUGGCUGUCCCAUUAUUGACCUGACUCCACUGAAAUGGCAUUUUGUUCAUGACAUUAGCAGCCGAUUUUGGCUGCUGGGAAAUCAUAGUGGAUUGAUCAGGUGAAGUUGGUUUCUGGUAAUCUGGUGAAAGUGUUUGAUUAUCGUUGAGAUUUAUUGUUGUAAUGUCAUGAAUACUCGCCCGCCUUUUAUCUUUUCCACCAGAAAGUUGUCUAAUAAAGUACUUCUGAGCAUGACUAGCCA